This 446-nucleotide ribosomal RNA is filed under the name uncultured bacterium. RNAcentral describes it as "partial 16S ribosomal RNA". It matches the Rfam family "Bacterial small subunit ribosomal RNA", at positions 338 to 795 of the family's 1533-position model. The record is from RNAcentral.
CCUACGGGCGGCUGCAGUAGGGAAUUUUCGGCAAUGGGGGGAACCCUGACCGAGCAACGCCGCGUGAACGAAGAAGUUAUUCGUAAUGUAAAGUUCUUUUAACAGGGAAGCAAGAGAAAUUUGACGGUACCUGACGAAUAAGCUCCGGCUAACUACGUGCCAGCAGCCGCGGUAAUACGUAGGGGGCGAGCGUUAUCCGGAAUUAUUGGGCGAAAAGGGUGCGUAGAUGGCAUAGAAAGUCUGUUGUAAAAAUGCUGGGCUCAACCCAGAAGGGCAAAAGAUACUGCAAAGCUAGAGUAUGACAGAGGCAAGUGGAACUACAGGUGUAGCGGUAAAAUGCUUAGAUAUAUGUAAGAACACCAGUGGCGAAGGCGGCUUGCUGGGUCGUUACUGACAUUGAUGCACGAAAGCGUGGGGAGCAAACAGGAUUAGAUACCCCAGUAGUC